Propithecus coquereli (Coquerel's sifaka) is the source of this 1796-nucleotide RNA transcript. It is a transcript of the gene named protocadherin Fat 3 pseudogene, with no coding region annotated. NCBI's taxonomy places the organism in Eukaryota, Metazoa, Chordata, Mammalia, Primates, Indriidae. The transcript has a single exon. The record is from RefSeq and is a predicted model, not a curated record.
AUCAUUUCGGGAAAUGAACUUGGCUUCUUUUAUUUAAACCCAGACUCUGGUGUUUUACAGCUUAAAAAGUCACUGUUGAAUUCUGGAGUUAAAAAUGGUAAUUUUGCCCUCAGAAUUACAGCAACCGAUGGAGAGAAUCUUGCAGACCCCAUGUCUAUUAACAUUUCAGUCCUACAUGGGAAGGUGUCUUCAAAGAGUUUCAGUUGCAGAGAAACUCGUGUGGCUCAAAAGCUGGCAGAGAAACUGCUCAUUAAGGCAAAAGCAAAUGGGAAACUGAAUCUGGAAGAUGGAUUUCUUGACUUUUAUUCAAUUAACAGGCAGGGACCACAUUUUGACAAGUCUUUUCCUUCUGAUGUGGCUGUGAAGGAGGAUCUACCAGUUGGUGCUAACAUCCUGAAGAUUCAAGCCUAUGAUGCUGACUCUGGCUUCAAUGGAAAGGUGCUAUUUACAAUAGCUGAUGGAAAUACAGAUAGUUGCUUUAACAUCGAUAUGGAGACUGGGCAGCUGAAGGUCCUUAUGCCCAUGGAUCGAGAACACACAGAUCUCUAUCUCCUUAAUAUCACCAUCUAUGACUUAGGCAAUCCACAGAAAUCUUCGUGGAGGCUGCUGACCAUCAAUGUGGAGGAUGCUAAUGACAACAGCCCAGUUUUUCUUCAAGACAGUUACUCAGUUAACAUUCUUGAAAGUUCAAGUAUUGGUACUGAGAUUAUUCAAGUGGAAGCCAGAGACAGAGACUUGGGUUCUAAUGGUGAAGUAACUUACUCGGUCUUGACAGAUACCCGGCAGUUUGCCAUCAAUAGCUCAACUGGAAUCAUUUAUGUAGCUGACCAAUUGGACAGGGAAUCAAAAGCAAACUACUCUUUGAAAAUAGAAGCCAGGGACAAGGCAGAAAGUGGUCAGCAACUGUUCUCAGUUGUCACUCUUAAGGUGUUUUUGGAUGACGUCAAUGACUGCUCUCCAGCUUUCAUUCCCAGUAGCUAUAGUGUGAAGGUCCUUGAAGAUCUCCCCAUUGGCACUGUCAUCGCUUGGCUGGAGACUCAUGAUCCGGAUCUUGGAUUGGGGGGUCAAGUGCGCUAUUCUUUGGUCAAUGACUAUAAUGGGAGAUUUGAAAUAGAUAAAGCAAGUGGUGCCAUCCGCUUGAGCAAAGAGCUCGACUAUGAAAAGCAGCAGUUCUAUAACCUGACGGUUCGGGCCAAAGACAAAGGGCGGCCUGUCUCUCUGUCAUCUGUUUCCUUUGUUGAGGUGGAAGUGGUGGAUGUCAAUGAAAACCUCCACACCCCCUAUUUCCCGGACUUUGCUGUUGUUGGAUCUGUAAAAGAAAACUCACGCAUUGGAACCAGUGUGCUUCAGGUGACUGCCCGAGAUGAAGACUCCGGGAGGGAUGGAGAGAUCCAGUACUCCAUCAGGGAUGGAAGUGGUCUUGGAAGGUUCAGUAUAGAUGACGAGAGUGGUAAGUUUAAAUUUUGUGCCAGAAGUAUUAUUUCACCUCUCUUAGAUCAUUGACAUUGGAAAAGUAAAGUGACUGUUAGGGCACUAAAAUAGAAUUGCAAAUGAGGUUGCAUUUGGUGCAGAGAUGAUGCAAGUAAAAGCUUUUUCUUAGAAUGUGGUGGUUUGUAAGAAGAUCUGUCUAUGCAAUAAUAGCCAUGGUUUCCAGUGGGAGUCCCGGUUUUGUUUUUUCUUGCUCAGCACUAGUGGUACCAGGUCAUCUUUUCAUAAACAUAAGUAAUUGUCACCUCUGUUGAUUGUGCUUCUGACCCUCACUAAAUGAAGGGCCCUGAUUAAGUAAAUUACAUUUG